GCCAGCAUAGCGGAGUGGUUUGAGUGUUGGACUAUGACUCGAGAGACCAGGGUUUGAUUCCCCGCUCUGUCA
Non-coding RNA from Phrynosoma platyrhinos (Desert horned lizard), 72 nucleotides. NCBI's taxonomy places the organism in Eukaryota, Metazoa, Chordata, Lepidosauria, Squamata, Phrynosomatidae. The record is from the annotation of a GenBank genome assembly.